UGACGACAAUAGCGCUCUGGAACCACCUGAUCCCAUCCCGAACUCAGCAGUGAAACAGAGCAGCGCCGAUGGUAGUGUGGCAUUUGCCCAUGCGAGAGUAGGUCAUCGUCA
RNAcentral lists this ribosomal RNA (111 nucleotides) under Marinobacter zhanjiangensis. The record is from RNAcentral. Lineage: Bacteria; Pseudomonadati; Pseudomonadota; Gammaproteobacteria; Pseudomonadales; Marinobacteraceae.